This 406-nucleotide ribosomal RNA is filed under the name uncultured bacterium. Its description in RNAcentral is "partial 16S ribosomal RNA". It matches the Rfam family "Bacterial small subunit ribosomal RNA", at positions 30 to 526 of the family's 1533-position model. The record is from RNAcentral.
AUUGAACGCUGGCGGCAGGCCUAACACAUGCAAGUCGAACGAGUGGCGGACGGGUGAGUAAUGUCUGGGAAACUGCCUGAUGGAGGGGGAUAACUACUGGAAACGGUAGCUAAUACCGCAUACCAUCAGAUGUGCCCAGAUGGGAUUAGCUUGUUGGUGGGGUAACGGCUCACCAAGGCGACGAUCCCUAGCUGGUCUGAGAGGAGGACCAGUCAAAGUGGAACUAGGACACGGUCCAGACUCCGACGGGAGGCAGCAGUGGGGAAUAUUGCACAAUGGGCUCAAGCCGGAUGCAUACAUGCCGCGUGUAUGAAGAAGGCGUUCGGGUUGUAAAGUACGUUCAGCGGGGAGGCGUUACCCGCAGAAGAAGCACCGGCUAACGCCGUGCCAGAAGCCGAGGUAAUAC